CCCACGCACCUGUGCAGGACGGUGAGGGUCUGUGGCAUGCAGACUGCCUAGAUCCAAAGGCUCCAGCUGUGCUGGCUUUCAUCUCACGUGGGACCUUUGAAGCAGUGGCAGCAGCAGCAGCAGCAGCAGCAGUGGUGAGGUUGAAGUGUUGCAACAGCACCAGCUGUCCCUCCUCUCUGGAGAAACGCAGCUGCACAGCCUCCAGUCGGGUCUCUGUAUCAGUCCAGAGGCCUGCUGCAGUGGAGGGGCCCUCCCUCUGCUUGCAGUAUCCUCAGGGGAGGCGUGGAGCCUGGGAUUUUCUCCUGUUUCCCUUUCCCACGUGUGGGCGCCUUCCCUAAUUACCUCCAGCCCUGCAGAGCAGCUCGGCUCACUUCUGUCUUCUUUGCUUCACUCCUGCAGCCUCUCCGUGGGUUCCCAGUGCUCUCGCUCAGACGAUCGAUCCAAAGAGCUUGGAUCCCCUGUUGUUCUGACCAGACUCUUCUAGCACAUGUGGUGUGGAGGACCUCAAUCAGAGAAUUUUUAGGAUAAAGAAACAAGAUAAAUGGCACCAUGAAGCAAAUCCAGAAUAUGGGACAUUCUGCCCGACAUCCUAUGGGACAACUGGCAAGCCUGUUCAAUAAAUUGAUGUCAUUAAAAAAAAAAAAAGAAUCUUCAGAUACAUAACAAACAGACACAGCAUUUGGUCCUGGAUUAGAUGUUCAUAUAAGCAAUUCAACUGAAAAGAACAUUGUUGGGUCAUUGGGAAACUUGAAUUUGGUCUCAGAAUUA
Molecule: non-coding RNA, 768 nt
Organism: Microcebus murinus (gray mouse lemur)
Lineage: Eukaryota; Metazoa; Chordata; Mammalia; Primates; Cheirogaleidae
Source: RefSeq, a predicted model, not a curated record